Molecule: transfer RNA, 73 nt
Filed under: Marmota marmota marmota (Alpine marmot)
Lineage: Eukaryota; Metazoa; Chordata; Mammalia; Rodentia; Sciuridae
Also listed under: 1 other name
Rfam family: tRNA
About the family: Transfer RNA (tRNA) molecules are approximately 80 nucleotides in length. Their secondary structure includes four short double-helical elements and three loops (D, anti-codon, and T loops).
Source: Rfam by way of RNAcentral
GUGGUUGCAGCUCAAUGGUAUAGCCCUUGCCUAGCAGGCAGGAGGCCCUUGGAUCAAAACCUAGCAACACACA